Molecule: transfer RNA, 72 nt
Rfam family: tRNA
About the family: Transfer RNA (tRNA) molecules are approximately 80 nucleotides in length.
Source: Rfam
AGCAAUUUGGCGCAGUGGAAGCGCGCCGGGCUCAUAACCCGGAGGUCCUACGAUCGAAACGUAGAAUUGCUA